Molecule: ribosomal RNA, 645 nt
Filed under: uncultured bacterium
Lineage: Bacteria
Description: bacterial SSU rRNA
Rfam family: Bacterial small subunit ribosomal RNA (bases 1-541)
Source: RNAcentral
CCUACGGGAGGCAGCAGUAAGGAAUAUUGGUCAAUGGACGCAAGUCUGAACCAGCCAUGCCGCGUGAAGGAUGAAGGCCCUCUGGGUUGUAAACUUCUUUUAUAGGGGACGAAAAAAGGGAAUUCUUUCUCACUUGACGGUACCCUAGGAAUAAGCACCGGCUAACUCCGUGCCAGCAGCCGCGGUAAUACGGAGGGUGCAAGCGUUAUCCGGAUUUACUAGGUUUAAAGGGUGCGUAGGUGGGUAAGUAAGUCAGCGGUGAAAUCUACGAGCUUAACUCGUAAAUUGCCUUUGAUACUAUUUAUCUUGAAUUAUCUGGAGGUAAGCGGAAUAUGUCAUGUAGCGGUGAAAUGCUUAGAUAUGACAUAGAACACCAAUUGCGAAGGCAGCUUACUACGGAUAUAUUGACACUGAGGCACGAAAGCGUGGGGAUCAAACAGGAUUAGAUACCCUGGUAGUCCACGCCCUAAACGAUGGAUACUCGACAUCAGCGAUACACUAGUUGGUUGUCUGAGACGAAGACGAUUAAGUUAUACCCACCGUACGGUAAGGUAACGAGUACGCGAAGAGUUAGUAAACGUUAAAGUUAAGUAAGUUAGUACGGACGUGAGACGUAGACCGACGGACGACGACGAGGGAGGAGGG